GACGAACGCUGGCGGCGUGCUUAACACAUGCAAGUCGAACGGAAAGGCCCUGCUUUUGUGGGGUGCUCGAGUGGCGAACGGGUGAGUAACACGUAAGUAGCCUGCCCUUGACGUUCGGCUGACGGCAAGAAACUGUGACUCAUACCAUAAAGGUACUCCUGCUGCUUUUUGUGGGUAGUACAGUUUCGGCGGUUGGGGAUGGACUCGCUUCUUAUCAUCUUGUUGGUGGGGUAUUGAAUUACCAAGGCUUUGACGGGUAGUCGGCCUGAGAGGGUGACCGGCCACAUUGGGACUGAGAUACGGCCCAGACUCCUACGGGCGGCAGCAGUCGGGAAUAUUGCACAAUGGGCGGAAGAAUGAUGCAGCAACGCAGCGUGCGGGAUGAAGGCCUUCGUGUUGUAAGCAGCUUUCGCCUGUGACGAAGCGUGAGUGACGGUAAUGGGUAAAGAAGCACCGGCUAACUACGUG
RNAcentral lists this ribosomal RNA (468 nucleotides) under uncultured bacterium. RNAcentral's name for it is "partial 16S ribosomal RNA". It matches the Rfam family "Bacterial small subunit ribosomal RNA", at positions 28 to 507 of the family's 1533-position model. The record is from RNAcentral.